Molecule: unclassified non-coding RNA, 491 nt
Filed under: Hevea brasiliensis (rubber tree)
Lineage: Eukaryota; Viridiplantae; Streptophyta; Magnoliopsida; Malpighiales; Euphorbiaceae
Source: RNAcentral
GGCAUUAUCUGUCUGCCUUUGUGUAAGUUAAUUGCCUGCUCUUACCACUUUCUUCAUGUUAUGGUUUCUUCUUUUAUAUAUAUAUUUAAAAAAAGAAAAGAAUUUUGAAGAGCAUACAAAUUUUAAUUAUGUAUCCAACAAGAAAAUAUGAUAUUAGGUUAAGAGCUUCUGUAGAAUAAUUAUUUGGGUCUGAUAUGAUCUCACAUUGAUAUUAGCUUAGCAAUGCUAAGUAAUAAUUUUGACGAGAGCUUAAUAAGUUCCUAACUGCCCUCUUCUUACAAGCCUACCUUGGUGACUUCUUCUCAACCUAUUGAUUUGUGGUGUUCAAUGAUUUAUAUCUAAUAACAUUAGAGUCAGCCCCAUCUUGCGAGUCUUCCGUAAAAGUUAUGGCCAAUGAAGUAGCAAUAGAGUGGUCUAGUCUAGUUAGUUAGGUGACUUGUUUCUCACUUGAUUUAACCUCAAAAAAAGUCUCCACAAAUUAACAAAGAUAA